CCUACGGGUGGCAGCAGUGAGGAAUAUUGGUCAAUGGGCGUAAGCCUGAACCAGCCAAGUCGCGUGAGGGAUGAAGGUUCUAUGGAUCGUAAACCUCUUUUAUAAGGGAAUAAAGUGCGGGACGUGUCCCGCUUUGCAUGUACCUUAUGAAUAAGGAUCGGCUAACUCCGUGCCAGCAGCCGCGGUAAUACGGAGGAUCCGAGCGUUAUCCGGAUUUAUUGGGUUUAAAGGGUGCGUAGGCGGCCAUGUAAGUCAGCGGUGAAAGUCUGGGGCCCAACCCUGGAAUUGCCGUUGAAACUGGGAAACUGGAGUAUGUGAGGGGCAGGCGGAAUGCCUGGUGUAGCGGUGAAAUGCGUAGAUAUCAGGCGGAACCCCGGUUGCGAAGGCGGCCUGCC
This 395-nucleotide ribosomal RNA is filed under the name uncultured bacterium. Its description in RNAcentral is "partial 16S ribosomal RNA". It matches the Rfam family "Bacterial small subunit ribosomal RNA", at positions 338 to 730 of the family's 1533-position model. The record is from RNAcentral.